RNAcentral lists this ribosomal RNA (1400 nucleotides) under uncultured bacterium. RNAcentral's name for it is "bacterial SSU rRNA". It matches the Rfam family "Bacterial small subunit ribosomal RNA". The record is from RNAcentral.
AGAGUUUGAUCCUGGCUCAGGAUGAACGCUAGCUACAGGCUUAACACAUGCAAGUCGAGGGGCAGCAUGGUCUUAGCUUGCUAAGGCCGAUGGCGACCGGCGCACGGGUGAGUAACACGUAUCCAACCUGCCGUCUACUCUUGGACAGCCUUCUGAAAGGAAGAUUAAUACAAGAUGGCAUCAUGAGUCCGCAUGUUCACAUGAUUAAAGGUAUUCCGGUAGACGAUGGGGAUGCGUUCCAUUAGAUAGUAGGCGGGGUAACGGCCCACCUAGUCUUCGAUGGAUAGGGGUUCUGAGAGGAAGGUCCCCCACAUUGGAACUGAGACACGGUCCAAACUCCUACGGGAGGCAGCAGUGAGGAAUAUUGGUCAAUGGGCGAGAGCCUGAACCAGCCAAGUAGCGUGAAGGAUGACUGCCCUAUGGGUUGUAAACUUCUUUUAUAAAGGAAUAAAGUCGGGUAUGGAUACCCGUUUGCAUGUACUUUAUGAAUAAGGAUCGGCUAACUCCGUGCCAGCAGCCGCGGUAAUACGGAGGAUCCGAGCGUUAUCCGGAUUUAUUGGGUUUAAAGGGAGCGUAGAUGGAUGUUUAAGUCAGUUGUGAAAGUUUGCGGCUCAACCGUAAAAUUGCAGUUGAUACUGGAUAUCUUGAGUGCAGUUGAGGCAGGCGGAAUUCGUGGUGUAGCGGUGAAAUGCUUAGAUAUCACGAAGAACUCCGAUUGCGAAGGCAGCCUGCUAAGCUGCAACUGACAUUGAGGCUCGAAAGUGUGGGUAUCAAACAGGAUUAGAUACCCUGGUAGUCCACACGGUAAACGAUGAAUACUCGCUGUUUGCGAUAUACUGCAAGCGGCCAAGCGAAAGCGUUAAGUAUUCCACCUGGGGAGUACGCCGGCAACGGUGAAACUCAAAGGAAUUGACGGGGGCCCGCACAAGCGGAGGAACAUGUGGUUUAAUUCGAUGAUACGCGAGGAACCUUACCCGGGCUCAAACGACGCAGGAAUGUUUUUGAAAGGAGGCAGCCCUUCGGGGCCUGCGUCGAGGUGCUGCAUGGUUGUCGUCAGCUCGUGCCGUGAGGUGUCGGCUUAAGUGCCAUAACGAGCGCAACCCCCAUUGACAGUUGCUAACAGGUAAAGCUGAGGACUCUGUCGAGACUGCCGGCGCAAGCUGUGAGGAAGGCGGGGAUGACGUCAAAUCAGCACGGCCCUUACGUCCGGGGCGACACACGUGUUACAAUGGCAGGUACAGCGGGAGGCCACCUGGCGACAGGGAGCGGAACCCGAAAGCCUGUCUCAGUUCGGAUUGGAGUCUGCAACCCGACUCCAUGAAGCUGGAUUCGCUAGUAAUCGCGCAUCAGCCACGGCGCGGUGAAUACGUUCCCGGGCCUUGCACACACCGCCCGUCAAG